CAGUCGCCACGGUAAUACGUAGGGUGCGAGCGUUAAUCGGAAUUACUGGGCGUAAAGCGUGCGCAGGCGGUUCGUUAAGACAGAUGUGAAAUCCCCGGGCUUAACCUGGGAACUGCAUUUGUGACUGGCGGGCUAGAGUAUGGCAGAGGGGGGUAGAAUUCCACGUGUAGCAGUGAAAUGCGUAGAGAUGUGGAGGAAUACCGAUGGCGAAGGCAGCCCCCUGGGCCAAUACUGACGCUCAUGCACGAAAACGUGGGGAGCAAACAGGAUUAGAUACCCGCGUAGUCCCUGUCUCUUAUAC
This 301-nucleotide ribosomal RNA is filed under the name uncultured bacterium. Its description in RNAcentral is "partial 16S ribosomal RNA". It matches the Rfam family "Bacterial small subunit ribosomal RNA", at positions 509 to 807 of the family's 1533-position model. The record is from RNAcentral.